GAUCCCCCACACUGGUACUGAGACACGGACCAGACUCCUACGGGAGGCAGCAGUGAGGAAUAUUGGGCAAUGGGCGAAAGCCUGACCCAGCCAUGCCGCGUGAAGGAUGAAUGCCCUACGGGUUGUAAACUUCUUUUGUACGGGACGAAACUUCCGAUCGUGAUCGGAAUUGACUGUACCGUUCGAAUAAGCAUCGGCUAACUCCGUGCCAGCAGCCGCGGUAAUACGGAGGAUGCAAGCGUUAUCCGGAUUCAUUGGGUUUAAAGGGUGCGUAGGCGGAAUAGUAAGUCAGUGGUGAAAGCCUGCGGCUUAACCGUAGAAUUGCCAUUGAUACUGUUAUUCUUGAGUUCAGUUGAGGUGGGCGGAAUGUGUAAUGUAGCGGUGAAAUGCAUAGAUAUUACACAGAACACCAAUUGCGAAGGCAGCUCACUAAACUGUCACUGACGCUGAGGCACGAAAGCGUGGGGAGCAAACAGGAUUAGAUACCCUGGUAGUCCACGCUGUAAACGAUGAUCACUCGUUGUUGGCGAUAUACCGUCAGCGACUGAGCGAAAGCAUUAAGUGAUCCACCUGGGGAGUACGGCGGCAACGCUGAAACUCAAAGAAAUUGACGGGGGCCCGCACAAGCGGAGGAACAUGUGGUUUAAUUCGAUGAUACGCGAGGAACCUUACCUGGGCUUGAAAUGGGGAACGUCCUCCCGGGAAACCGGGAUUCUCUUCGGAGCGUUCUCCUAGGUGCUGCAUGGUUGUCGUCAGCUCGUGCCGUGAGGUGUCGGGUUAAGUCCCAUAACGAGCGCAACCCUUAUUGUUAGUUGCCAGCGGGUAAUGCCGGGAACUCUAACGAAACUGCCGGUGUAAACCGAGGGGAAGGUGGGGAUGACGUCAAAUCAGCACGGCCCUUAUGUCCAGGGCUACACACGUGUUACAAUGGCCGGUACAAAGGGCAGCUACUUGGUGACAAGAUGCUAAUCUCCAAAACCGGUCUCAGUUCGGAUCGAAGUCUGCAACUCGACUUCGUGAAGUUGGAUUCGCUAGUAAUCGCGCAUCAGCAACGGCGCGGUGAAUACGUUCCCGGGCCUUGUACACACCGCCCGUCAAGCCAUGGAAGCUGGGAGUACCUGAAGUCUGUAACCGCAAGGAGCGGCCUAGGGUAAAACCAGUGACU
RNAcentral lists this ribosomal RNA (1165 nucleotides) under uncultured Cytophagaceae bacterium. Its description in RNAcentral is "bacterial SSU rRNA". It matches the Rfam family "Bacterial small subunit ribosomal RNA", at positions 302 to 1476 of the family's 1533-position model. The record is from RNAcentral. Lineage: Bacteria; Pseudomonadati; Bacteroidota; Cytophagia; Cytophagales; Cytophagaceae.